This 663-nucleotide long non-coding RNA is filed under the name Malus domestica (apple). RNAcentral's name for it is "long non-coding RNA (MDOM_LNC019741)". Lineage: Eukaryota; Viridiplantae; Streptophyta; Magnoliopsida; Rosales; Rosaceae. The record is from RNAcentral.
UUAGUUAAUUAAUUAUACGAAAGGUUCGUAUUGGGCUUAUAUGUUGGUUUUGGGUUUCGGGGCCCAAAAACGUUUUGGUCCAAAAGGCCCAUUAUGUUUAAGUUGUAUGACAACUAAAACAAAAUGGGCAAAUAGCCCAAUAACACCAAGGAGGCCGGCCAUUAGGGUUGGAUGGGCAAAGUUUGCUUAAUUGCAAGCUUGCCACUCACCAAAGAAAUGAAGUAUAAAUUCAACUUUAUAGCUUUAGGGUUUGGUAAGUUGAAAUUGGGUGAGACAUUUUCUCUCUAUUUCUUCUUAGAGGCCGGCCAUUAAAGGAAGAAAACAUCUAGCAAUCUCUUCUUCUUUUAAUCAUCCAUAUCAUCUUCACAAGAUACAACCUUGGUGAAGAGACUUAGAGACAUCAAGCUUUUGGUGUUUUGGAGAACAAAUCCUUUUUCCUCAAAUCAUCAAAGGAGCACUAAAGGGAGUAAAACACAAGAAGGAUUCAAGGAGCUUGGAGGUGACUUGAAGGCCCUCCACUUGGGUGAAUCCCUUGUGUAAACAAGGAUGAGCUUCAAGGGUAAAGAAUCACUAAAUUCUUCUUUCUCUUUAAUGUUGUUAAAGAGUUUAUUUUGGUUCACCACAUACUAGGCUUUGAAAGUCAUGGGUUUUAUUGAAUUGUUU